Molecule: unclassified non-coding RNA, 331 nt
Filed under: soil metagenome
Description: partial contains 5.8S ribosomal RNA, internal transcribed spacer 2, and large subunit ribosomal RNA
Rfam family: 5.8S ribosomal RNA (bases 1-119)
Source: RNAcentral
AUGAAGAACGCAGCGAAAUGCGAUAAGUAGUGUGAAUUGCAGAAUUCAGUGAAUCAUCGAAUCUUUGAACGCACAUUGCGCCCUUUGGUAUUCCUUAGGGCAUGCCUGUUCGAGCGUCAUUUAAACCUUCAAGCUAAGCUUGGUGUUGGGUGACUGUCCGCUUCACGGCGGACUCGCCUCAAAAUUAUUGGCGGCCGGUACAUUGGCUUCGAGCGCAGCAGAAACGCGAACUCGGGCCCGUCGUAUUGGCUCCCAGAAGCUAUCUUCACAAUUUUGACCUCGGAUCAGGUAGGGAUACCCGCUGAACUUAAGCAUAUCAAUAAGCGGAGGA